This 130-nucleotide small RNA is filed under the name Aeromonas hydrophila. RNAcentral's name for it is "RtT sRNA". It matches the Rfam family "RtT RNA". Rfam says of the family: This family represents a bacterial cis-regulatory element known as RtT RNA. The exact function of RtT is unknown although it is thought that it may be involved in changing the cellular response in relation to amino acid starvation. Lineage: Bacteria; Pseudomonadati; Pseudomonadota; Gammaproteobacteria; Aeromonadales; Aeromonadaceae. RNAcentral also lists the same sequence under 1 other name. The record is from RNAcentral.
CCUAUGUCGAAGAGGGGAGGGGUGAGAACUCUCGCCGGGUUCGAGCAGAGCAGCUUGCUGCGAUGAAGGAUCGCAGGCCGCCCCGAAGGGGUGAGCAAUGCACUGGCGAAUCAUCCUUCCCUCAUCGUCA